GUUUAUUCUCGUGAUGUAUUUAACUGUAGAAGACAACGGGGGAUUGUCUGUUUGGUUAUACGAGAAAAACUUGAAUACAAAUACCAAAACAUUCGUUUUCGCAAACAUUUAAGAGAAAUCUUCUAAUGGAAAAGAAUUACAUUCAAAAAAAAGUUGUAGUAAUAUUUAACUUGAGAGAAUGUAUUUGUCUGUGCUGUGUAAAUAUCAACAUGCUGAUAUAUAUAAAUAUGAUUAUAUGUACACAGUUGAAUAAUUGUGCACUCCAUAAAAGUUGUUAUACAACAAAUGUUGAGCACAGAGUUAUUCAAUUGCAUUUACUUUGGUUCUGUUUAGGAGCUCACAUAGUUUAGCCUUUGCCCCCUCAAUCCCCUUAAAUUAUUCACACUAUCAGUUUGUCAUAUAUUCACCUCAGAAUCUAUACAAAUAUUUUACUUCAUUUUUUCUCAUUGAGAAAGGGGCUAAAGGUUAAUUAAAAUACGGUGGCAAUUGUGGAAAGAAGAUAAUCAAUUUAAACAGUGAGACUAAGAGUAAUUUAUUAUAACAUAGUAUAUAGAUGAUAGUAGUGGGUUUUAAGUAGGUUGUUUUAAUUUAAUUUAUGUUUUGUACGUAUUUAUCCAUCAAAUAUCACUUGUCAAGCAAGGAGGAAUUCCUGUGAUACACAGAAGAUUUUAAAUCCUGACAUAUAAGAUCAGAAAUGACAUACGGUCAUGACAAUUAGUGAGCAUGGUACUAUCUCAUAUUUGUUGUGCUGUUUCUGAAACUGCUAUAGUGUGCUAUCAGUAUGAAAAUUGUGAAUCUGGGGCCAGUGAACAUCAGAUUUAGCGACGUGUGUGUUUGUUUAUUUGUUCUGAUUUAUGUAUUGGCAUCAGUUUCCUUUCGUCUAUGAACCCUCGUCCUGUUUCGAUUGCCUGUUAUGUGGUCCGGAAAGUUGCGAGAUAGAGUCAUACAUAGUUUUCUAAAUGGUGUUUCUAUCACACUGUAAUCAGUGACCUACAUCCUCACGUUAACAUUAACUUGGCAAAUGAGAAUAAAGUACAUUAAAGACAUUGCAUAGUACAACACAUAUUAUUCCGAGGCGCUCUGAACAAUAUGGAUCCACGUGUACUUCUCCUGCAUCCUCGAUCCUUUAUCUCCUCUCUUUCGGAAGGUGGACUUACUGCAUGCGUCCUCGUAUCCUGAAGCACCCCGAAACAUGUUGGAGAGACAGAAGCUUAAAGCUGCAGGAAAGUUAGAACACACAGUAACGCUGUGCUAUGUUUUUUGAUCCAUCAUCGCGGUUGAAGCUCGGCACACACAGCAGCUCUGCUAUAUUCUACGCAAAGCACAAAGUAGGUGCUGCAAUAAUAACUUCCAUUGCAGAUAUAAAUACUCAUCCUACUGCCAGUCCUUUGUUUGGAUAUACACGAUUGCCGAAGGGUAAGAGAUGUGUUUUGACUGGUAGUUUUGCUUCCACAGUACUCAUCAGGAUGAAUUGUUGUACAUCUCCAGUAUUUAUUGAACCAAUGCACAGCCUUGGUUUCAUCUUUUUGGCUUUGUUUUAAAUCAAGGUUCUUUGAUUCAGGCGUGUAGAAGCACCUGGCUUUCUCUCUUCCUCUAGUCCCCCCCCACCUCUGUUGUUUUCCUCUCUCUCUCUGUCUUUCUCUCUUUCACUGUAGCUCCUAUAAAUAUGCUGAAAUGAAAUAUACUCUGUUGUUAGUGGUGAAUGAUGUCUUGUGAUACUCUCUCUACGCCUUUGGAUAGUGCUGUGUUUAUUGUGUAUGAUGUAUUCAUAUUAGUAUUUAUGAUAAUGAUAAGUCAGAGAAAAAAAAUAUCCAAGACUCUCCAAAAUUCUGCUGUAUUCUUAUUAUAUGGGAUCCAUGUGAAACAAAAUGAAAUAAACUUGCGAUUAUUCUG
This is a long non-coding RNA of Gasterosteus aculeatus aculeatus (three-spined stickleback), 1893 nucleotides long. The record is from Ensembl. Lineage: Eukaryota; Metazoa; Chordata; Actinopteri; Perciformes; Gasterosteidae.